Molecule: long non-coding RNA, 283 nt
Organism: Haliotis rubra (blacklip abalone)
Lineage: Eukaryota; Metazoa; Mollusca; Gastropoda; Lepetellida; Haliotidae
Exons: 3
Source: RefSeq, a predicted model, not a curated record
CCUGUCAAAAUACAUUAUCCCCAAAGCCACUGGGAUAAAUUUGUGACGUCAUCACAUCUGACUUGGGCUUACUCAGUUGAUUACCGUGACUUACCAGCCUUCUUGCCACUUACUAUCUCUAAUUUUUGGAAAAUCAGUUUCUACCGUUAGGCUCUCAGAAGACUCCUUCAUACUAACAACAGAGGAGAAUAGUCGAUCAGCCAAGAUAACAUGAGGCUCAGAAUAGUAUGUAAUUCACAGCUGUAGAUUCUCUGUUCAGCUUCAUGGCCUCUCAAAAGAGACU